This 501-nucleotide ribosomal RNA is filed under the name uncultured bacterium. Its description in RNAcentral is "partial 16S ribosomal RNA". It matches the Rfam family "Bacterial small subunit ribosomal RNA", at positions 30 to 523 of the family's 1533-position model. The record is from RNAcentral.
AUUGAACGCUGGCGGCAGGCUUAACACAUGCAAGUCGAGCGGGGGAAGGUAGCUUGCUACCGGACCUAGCGGCGGACGGGUGAGUAAUGCUUAGGAAUCUGCCUAUUAGUGGGGGACAACAUCUCGGAAGGGAUGCUAAUACCGCAUACGUCCUACGGGAGAAAGCAGAGGAUCUUCGGACCUUGCGCUAAUAGAUGAGCCUAAGUCGGAUUAGCUAGUUGGUGGGGUAAAGGCCUACCAAGGCGACGAUCUGUAGCGGGUCUGAGAGGAUGAUCCGCCACACUGGGACUGAGACACGGCCCAGACUCCUGCGGGAGGCAGCAGGGGGGAAUAUUGGACAAUGGGGGGAACCCUGAUCCAGCCAUGCCGCGUGUGUGAAGAAGGCCUUAUGGUUGUAAAGCACUUUAAGCGAGGAGGAGGCUACUCUAGUUAAUACCUAGGGAUAGUGGACGUUACUCGCAGAAUAGGCACCGGCUAACUCUGUGCCAGCAGCCGCCGUAA